GGUUGACCUCGGAUCAGGUAGGGAUACCCGCUGAACUU
Molecule: ribosomal RNA, 38 nt
Filed under: Aspergillus sp.
Lineage: Eukaryota; Fungi; Ascomycota; Eurotiomycetes; Eurotiales; Aspergillaceae
Also listed under: 14 other names
Description: partial 28S ribosomal RNA
Source: RNAcentral